UUUCAGGAUAAAUUAGGCGAAGGAAGAUAUGGAACGGUUUAUAAAGGAAAACUUCGAAGUGGCCCUUUUGUUGCAAUAAAGAAGAUGUCCAGUUCUGUUGCUAGUGGAAAAGAAUUCAUCAGUGAAGUAGCAAAAAUUGGAAGGAUUCACCAUGGAAAUGUGGUGAAACUUAUUGGCUCCUGGGAUAGACUAUCUACAUCACAAUGUCGACCAUGUUGAUAUUAAGCCUCAAAAUAUUCUUCUCCAAGAAAAUUUCAACCCCAAAAUUUCUUAUUUUGGUCUUGCGAAAUUGAAUCCGUUGAAUGAUAUUGAAGGAGCCCCGUAUAAGGCAGAUCUUUACGACUUUGGAAUGAUGCUGUUGGAAAUGGCAAAAAGAAAGAGAAACAUGAAUCCAUUUGCUGAAAAUUUGAGCCAAAUGUAGUUCCCUUGGGUAUAUGAUCAGCUUAGUGAAAGAAAAGAAUUGGAAUUGAAAGACAUCAUAGAUGAAGAGAGCGAGAGAGAGAUGAUGAAAAAGAUGAUGAUAGUAGCUUUAUGGUGCAUUCGGACGAGGACCGAAGGUCAUCCUUCUAUGAGUAAAGUUGUCGAGAUGCUUGAAGCCAACAUUGAAAUCCUAUGGAUGCCUCCAAAAUCCUUCCCAUCUGCCAGUGAGGCAGCCAAGGAUGAUGAAAACACUGCCUGUGUGUCGGCGUCUGUAUAAUGUAGUGAUGUUGUAUAUUGU
Molecule: long non-coding RNA, 718 nt
Filed under: Olea europaea subsp. europaea
Lineage: Eukaryota; Viridiplantae; Streptophyta; Magnoliopsida; Lamiales; Oleaceae
Source: RNAcentral